This 253-nucleotide ribosomal RNA is filed under the name uncultured bacterium. RNAcentral's name for it is "partial 16S ribosomal RNA". It matches the Rfam family "Bacterial small subunit ribosomal RNA", at positions 524 to 776 of the family's 1533-position model. The record is from RNAcentral.
UACGUAGGGUGCGAGCGUUGUCCGGAAUUAUUGGGCGUAAAGGGCUCGUAGGCGGUUUGUCACGUCGGGAGUUAAAACUCAGGGCUUAACCCUGAGCCUGCUUCCGAUACGGGCAGACUAGAGGUAUGCAGGGGAGAACGGAAUUCCUGGUGUAGCGGUGAAAUGCGCAGAUAUCAGGAGGAACACCGGUGGCGAAGGCGGUUCUCUGGGCAUUACCUGACGCUGAGGAGCGAAAGCGUGGGGAGCAAACAGG